This is a long non-coding RNA of Panthera uncia (snow leopard), 568 nucleotides long. RefSeq lists it as uncharacterized. NCBI's taxonomy places the organism in Eukaryota, Metazoa, Chordata, Mammalia, Carnivora, Felidae. The transcript is spliced from 3 exons. The record is from RefSeq and is a predicted model, not a curated record.
CACUUCCCUUAACCGUAUCCCUGACGCCAACUAGCGCGUUAACUGCAGAAACCUUACUCUAAGUCGCAGCCUGAGCCCUGCUGGUGUGGGGAAUUAUAAGAUUCCAGAACUUGGUCACCUUUAAGACUCUUUCGAUCCUUUAGGGUCCAUUUUGGCGUCUAUCCCUCGUCUCUGACACGCCUGGCACACAUUGUGGUUAAGCACCAAAGCAAGAGCGCCUGGGUGGCUCAGUCGGUUAAACGUCUGAAUUCGGCUCAGGUCAUGAUCUCAUGGCUGGAUGCAGAAGUGAUGCCACAUGAUUUCUGGGUCCGGGCGGUGAGAUGAUCCCACGUAUUCUCUUGGGCCCCUACCUCGGCCAGAGAACGAGCUCAGACAGCUUGCUGUGGGUAAGAGAAUUUGUGGAGGAGGACUUUCCCGGCGAGGACAUUCCAGAUGAGCUGGUCCCCACCUGACCUGCCUGCUGACCGUAGAUUCAUGAACAAACCCAGCCUAGAUCAGCUCAACUUGGCCCAGACCGAAAGAACUGCCCACCUGACCACAGACUCAUGAGAAAUAAUAAAUUGUUAUU